AGAAGGAUAUGAAGCAGGUGUUCAGUGUGACUCUGAACGAGGAUCAACAGGUCAGGAACCUGAAACCAGCUGUGGUCAAAGUCUACGAUUACUACCAGACAAGUGAUCAGGCUGUUAUUGAGUACAUAUCCCCCUGUGCUGAGAGCAACAACGCCAACAAGGUGUGAAUGAAGAGAUGUUACUCGUCUUCGUUCAGAGGAAUCCCUGCCAAA
This is a long non-coding RNA of Nematolebias whitei (Rio pearlfish), 212 nucleotides long. RefSeq lists it as uncharacterized. The transcript is spliced from 3 exons. Lineage: Eukaryota; Metazoa; Chordata; Actinopteri; Cyprinodontiformes; Rivulidae. The record is from RefSeq and is a predicted model, not a curated record.